UUACGGCCAUAUCACGUUGAAACACCGGUUCGCGUACGACCACCGAAGUAAGCAACGUCGGGUCUAGUCAGUACCUACUUGGGUUACCGCUUCGGAACACCAGGGGCUGUAAG
Molecule: non-coding RNA, 113 nt
Organism: Acanthosepion pharaonis
Lineage: Eukaryota; Metazoa; Mollusca; Cephalopoda; Sepiida; Sepiidae
Source: the annotation of a GenBank genome assembly